AUGCCCCCUGGUCUACAGCUUGGACCGGUGCCCUGGGCCACUGCUGUGCAGGUGACACAGGAGCAGGGCAAGGUUGGCCACAGAGGAACUGCAUGGCUGUGUUCCAAUAAAACUUACUUUACAAAAACGGGUGAGGCCAGAUUUGGCUCAUGGGCCAUAGUCUGCCAACCCUGGUAUCACGGAAAGUUGAAGAUGCCAGGGAGGAAAGAUUUGAGAAGCAAAGGGGCUGUGGUCAAGGUGGUCCCGUAUUGCAUUCAGUUCCUAAACUCGCAGACCAUGUCAGCUGUCUCCCACAGCUGCCCUAAAUUCUGCCACCCUUCAGGGUUUCUGAUCUUCAAACCAACACUGAUCAGGGUGUCCUGGCAAAGCAGCCUGGCCUCACGACCUGCCCACAGUGCCUGGAGGGUGAAAGAGGCUGCAGCACCCUGUCCUCAAGCCAGAGACUCAGUAAAAACCAGUGAUAAGGCCAGUGGCUUCCACAUCAGCAGCCAGUCCCGCCAUGCUGGUGGUCAGUGAUGGGCUGGCUCCCAGAACAGCGCAGAGUAGACCCUUCAGACCCUCUGUGACUCCCUUUAAGACAGGUCCUCUCUCCCCUGCAAAUGAGUCUGCUUCUCCUCCCACGGGGUACUUAGUCCUGCAAAGAAUUAUGAUGGAGGUGAUUCGUCUCCGCCAGCUUGGGCUGUCACAGCACAACACGAUACGACGGCGCAGGCUGGGGUCAUUUCUCAUUGUCCUGGGGGCUGGGAGGCUUAGACUGGGGCAGCAGACCUGGCCCUGGUGAGAGCCCGCUUCCAGGUCUGCAGACGGUGGCCUUCUUCGUGGGUCCUCGUGGGGUGGACAGAGGCAGCUCUGGUCUCUUCCUUCUUGUUGACUGUUGUUGUUUAGUCGCUCAGUUCUGUCUGACUUUUGCAACCCCAUCAGGCUCCUCUCCCAUGGGAUUUCCCAGGCAAGACUACUGGAGUGGGUUGCCAUGUCCUUUUACAGGGAUCUUCCUGGAUUGGGAAUCGAACCCAUGUCUCCUGCAUUGGCAGGUGGAUUCUUUACCACUGAGCCACCAGGGAAGUCCCCUCUUCCUUCUUGUAAGGACACUAAUCCCAUGACUCUCAUGGCCUCAUCUCACCUUAAUCCUUUCCCCAGAGCCCCACCUCCACGACCAUCACUGUGAGGAUUAGGGCACCAACACAGGACUUUCGGAGGGGGCCACAAACAUCCCGUCUAUGGCAUUAUUAUUAAGCUCCCAUUUCUAUCUGUCCCAGGAGCUGUAUUGGGAAUGUAUUCCUUUCUUCUCUGCUUUUCAGAUGAGAGACGUUUCUGAGAGGUUAAACCACUUGUUCAAGGUUGUCUGUCCAUCUCAGAGCACAGACGAGCCAUCCACUCUAUGUAAACAAACGAGGAGAGCCUCGUCGUGUUUCUUCUCUGGAAAUAAAUUUUUUUGUUUUUUGUUUCUUG
RNAcentral lists this long non-coding RNA (1449 nucleotides) under Bos indicus x Bos taurus (hybrid cattle). RNAcentral describes it as "lncRNA (ENSBIXG00000018926.1)". Lineage: Eukaryota; Metazoa; Chordata; Mammalia; Artiodactyla; Bovidae. The record is from RNAcentral.